This is a small nuclear RNA of Onychomys torridus (southern grasshopper mouse), 107 nucleotides long. The record is from RefSeq and is a predicted model, not a curated record. NCBI's taxonomy places the organism in Eukaryota, Metazoa, Chordata, Mammalia, Rodentia, Cricetidae.
AUGCUUGUUUUGGCAGCACAUACACUAAAACUGGAACAAUGCAGAGAAGAUUAGCAUGGUCAUUGCACAAGGAUGACAUGCAAACUUGUGAAGUGUUCCAUAAUUUU